GGGUUGUGAGGUUAAGCGACUAAGCGUACACGGUGGAUGCCCUGGCAGUCAGAGGCGAUGAAGGACGUGCUAAUCUGCGAUAAGCGUCGGUGAGGUGAUAUGAACCGUUAUAACCGGCGAUUUCCGAAUGGGGAAACCCAGUGUGUUUCGACACACUAUCAUUAACUGAAUCCAUAGGUUAAUGAGGCGAACCGGGGGAACUGAAACAUCUAAGUACCCCGAGGAAAAGAAAUCAACCGAGAUUCCCCCAGUAGCGGCGAGCGAACGGGGAGGAGCCCAGAGCCUGAAUCAGUGUGUGUGUUAGUGGAAGCGUCUGGAAAGGCGCGCGAUACAGGGUGACAGCCCCGUACACAAAAAUGCACACAUUGUGAGCUCGAUGAGUAGGGCGGGACACGUGGUAUCCUGUCUGAAUAUGGGGGGACCAUCCUCCAAGGCUAAAUACUCCUGACUGACCGAUAGUGAACCAGUACCGUGAGGGAAAGGCGAAAAGAACCCCGGCGAGGGGAGUGAAAAAGAACCUGAAACCGUGUACGUACAAGCAGUGGGAGCCUCUUAAUGGGGUGACUGCGUACCUUUUGUAUAAUGGGUCAGCGACUUAUAUUCUGUAGCAAGGUUAACCGAAUAGGGGAGCCGAAGGGAAACCGAGUCUUAACUGGGCGCUAAGUUGCAGGGUAUAGACCCGAAACCCGGUGAUCUAGCCAUGGGCAGGUUGAAGGUUGGGUAACACUAACUGGAGGACCGAACCGACUAAUGUUGAAAAAUUAGCGGAUGACUUGUGGCUGGGGGUGAAAGGCCAAUCAAACCGGGAGAUAGCUGGUUCUCCCCGAAAGCUAUUUAGGUAGCGCCUCGUGAAUUCAUCUCCGGGGGUAGAGCACUGUUUCGGCAAGGGGGUCAUCCCGACUUACCAACCCGAUGCAAACUGCGAAUACCGGAGAAUGUUAUCACGGGAGACACACGGCGGGUGCUAACGUCCGUCGUGAAGAGGGAAACAACCCAGACCGCCAGCUAAGGUCCCAAAGUCAUGGUUAAGUGGGAAACGAUGUGGGAAGGCCCAGACAGCCAGGAUGUUGGCUUAGAAGCAGCCAUCAUUUAAAGAAAGCGUAAUAGCUCACUGGUCGAGUCGGCCUGCGCGGAAGAUGUAACGGGGCUAAACCAUGCACCGAAGCUGCGGCAGCGAC
This 1178-nucleotide ribosomal RNA is filed under the name Escherichia coli. Its description in RNAcentral is "bacterial LSU rRNA". It matches the Rfam family "Bacterial large subunit ribosomal RNA", at positions 1 to 1212 of the family's 2925-position model. The record is from RNAcentral. Lineage: Bacteria; Pseudomonadati; Pseudomonadota; Gammaproteobacteria; Enterobacterales; Enterobacteriaceae.